Cavia porcellus (domestic guinea pig) is the source of this 64-nucleotide transfer RNA. It matches the Rfam family "tRNA". From Rfam's summary of the family: Transfer RNA (tRNA) molecules are approximately 80 nucleotides in length. Their secondary structure includes four short double-helical elements and three loops (D, anti-codon, and T loops). Further hydrogen bonds mediate the characteristic L-shaped molecular structure. tRNAs have two regions of fundamental functional importance: the anti-codon, which is responsible for specific mRNA codon recognition, and the 3' end, to which the tRNAs corresponding amino acid is attached (by aminoacyl-tRNA synthetases). tRNAs cope with the degeneracy of the genetic code in two manners: having more than one tRNA (with a specific anti-codon) for a particular amino acid; and 'wobble' base-pairing, i.e. permitting non-standard base-pairing at the 3rd anti-codon position. Lineage: Eukaryota; Metazoa; Chordata; Mammalia; Rodentia; Caviidae. The record is from Rfam.
GGGGAUUUAGCUCAGCGGCAUAAGCGCCUGCCUUGCAAGCAUGCGGUCAUGAGUUCAAUCCCCG